CUAGAAAUUUGUGUCUUCGCAAGGUAAAGCAAUAUGCCUUGGAUCAGAUAGAAAUAAGAUUGGUGACUGAUGCAGAAAUAUAUUCUUACAUGACUGCCUCUUUAUUUUAUAAUAUUUAAAUUGCUAUUUAUAGACAUCAUUUCUUGGGUAACACAAAUCAGCAAUCUUAUAUGCAGCUUUGCCGUUAUAUAAACAUAAAAGUUGGAAAAAUCUAAGGGAUGGUUGCUUGACAUGCAUUUUGUUUCACCUUUCUCAAAAAUAAACUUGGCUCCUAAUUUGGACUUGAAUGGAUGGUCCCUACCAUUAUCCAAUAAGACAGUUAAUCUCUUUAUGAGCGUCUGGAGUUCAAACAUUUUGUGUUCUUGAUUAAAGUGAGAGUCAUGCACUUUAAAUGGCAGGUGUGCAAGUGGUAAGGUAACAACCACAUGAUAAAAAAAAAAAAAGAUAGGAACUUAUUUGUAUCCUUCCCUAAGUACUUCCACCUAUCAACUUUGGGCAGCAUGGUGCACGUGUUAAUAAAAACAUAAUAACCCAGAGAGUACAAAAUGUAGACUUGGAAAGUAAAUACAUGCUGCCCAAGCAUUAGAACUAAAAUUCUUCAAGAUGAACCUGUGAGAAACAGUUUUGGUUUGUUGAUAAGAUAUAAAAUCCAACGUGGUGGGAAAUUUCUGGGAAAUGACAUACAUAUGUGCAGUGAACAAAAAAAAUAGUAUAUAUUGACCUGAAUCUUAGCCAGCUUCACACACGGUUGUUUUGUUUGUUUGUUUGUUUGUUUUUUUCUUUAACAGGACAUUAAGCUCCAUUUGGGUGGUUUACAGGGCUGAACUUUCAAGGGCACUAAGGAAAAGCUAUAGUUUCAUUUCUGUUCCACAGACAUCACCUUCCUAUUACUGCCAAAAGCCAAGAUCAUGAAGGUGAUUUGGACAAAGGCCCAGUGUAAUCAUGGCUAUGUCAGGUUCACUGUGUGGUACUCUCUUCCCAUCUUCCCUAAGGAUACCAUCGAAACAGUUUUAUUUCCGGUAAAUAAUUAUUUGUGUUCUAUAUAAACUAAUUUAGAUCA
RNAcentral lists this long non-coding RNA (1060 nucleotides) under Felis catus (domestic cat). RNAcentral's name for it is "lncRNA (ENSFCAG00000047258.1)". Lineage: Eukaryota; Metazoa; Chordata; Mammalia; Carnivora; Felidae. The record is from RNAcentral.